CCUUACUACUUUUACUUUAUACUACUUAUAGAAAGUAGAAAAUCUAAUCUGAAAAGUGAAAAUAAUUCAUCUUCCUCAAUUUAUUCUUCCAAGUUUUAUAUUAGUUCGAUACUACCAAGUUCCUUUCAGGUUUUUUCAUUCUUCAUUCUUCCGAGCAGGUUCAACUAAUUCAGACGAGCAGCCAGUUCAGAAGACCAGCCGCCAGCGAGUUCAUAGUCUUUAGGUUGCCAGCAACCGGCGACCGACGACCAGCGAUCGAGGGCCAGCCGACCACCAAUCAGAUUGGAAACGUUCCGAAACUUUACAAAAAGGGAAGGAACUAUCUUGAAGAUUCGUGUCACGAGGUUCGGCUCUUAAGAUUCGAUACCAAGUAGGAGCACAUCUUGUGGAGCAAAUUGAGUCCGAGCUUGAAAUUCUUGGAGUUGUGUGUUACUUGAUUAGAAUUUGACUUUUGAGGAAGAGCCGACGAGUUCAUAGUCUUCAGACGGCCAGCAACCGGUGACCGGCGACCAGCGAUCGAGGGCCAGCCGACCACCAAUCAGAUUCAAUUCCGAGUAGGAGGACAUCUGGUGGGGCAAAUUGAAUCCGAGCUUGAAGUUCUUGGAGUUGUGACGCAUGUAACUAGGAUCGACAUUUGGCGCACCGUUGAUCCAGUGAGCAGCUCAGAGUCAGUUGGUGAGCCUCUCUUCAUUACGGAGGACAUCUUUAACAUUCAAUUAUUUUUCUUUCAACUUUCAGUUGUUAGGAUGAUUGGGGGUCCUGUCCCAACAUCCAUCUUUACUUUAGAGGAUUCAUAGACAACUUUUGUCUUAUUCAUUUCAGUUGUAUACAUUUAAUACUUAGCUUGCCGUUUUGGCUAACUUAAUACUUUAAACUUAUUCUGUUA
RNA transcript from Solanum lycopersicum (tomato), 886 nucleotides. RefSeq lists it as uncharacterized. NCBI's taxonomy places the organism in Eukaryota, Viridiplantae, Streptophyta, Magnoliopsida, Solanales, Solanaceae. The record is from RefSeq and is a predicted model, not a curated record.